GCAGUGGUGGUUCAGUAGUAGAAUUCUUACCUUCCAUGAAGGAGACUCAGGUUUGAUUCCUGAUUAAUGAA
This 71-nucleotide transfer RNA is filed under the name Loxodonta africana (African savanna elephant). It matches the Rfam family "tRNA". From Rfam's summary of the family: Transfer RNA (tRNA) molecules are approximately 80 nucleotides in length. Their secondary structure includes four short double-helical elements and three loops (D, anti-codon, and T loops). Further hydrogen bonds mediate the characteristic L-shaped molecular structure. tRNAs have two regions of fundamental functional importance: the anti-codon, which is responsible for specific mRNA codon recognition, and the 3' end, to which the tRNAs corresponding amino acid is attached (by aminoacyl-tRNA synthetases). tRNAs cope with the degeneracy of the genetic code in two manners: having more than one tRNA (with a specific anti-codon) for a particular amino acid; and 'wobble' base-pairing, i.e. permitting non-standard base-pairing at the 3rd anti-codon position. Lineage: Eukaryota; Metazoa; Chordata; Mammalia; Proboscidea; Elephantidae. The record is from Rfam by way of RNAcentral.